Molecule: transfer RNA, 74 nt
Filed under: Bacilli bacterium
Lineage: Bacteria; Bacillati; Bacillota; Bacilli
Description: tRNA-Thr
Rfam family: tRNA
About the family: Transfer RNA (tRNA) molecules are approximately 80 nucleotides in length. Their secondary structure includes four short double-helical elements and three loops (D, anti-codon, and T loops).
Source: RNAcentral
GCCGUAAUAGUAUAACGGUAUUACGAGGCCAUGGUAAGGCUUUAAUCUAAGUUCAACUCUUAGUUACGGCACCA